CGCGUGUCGAGUCACGUGCCGUGGGCGGGAGGGGGCCGGGGCGCGGGAGGCGAGGGCGCGGUGACACGGGCCGGAGGGGCCUGCGCCCGCGGAGGGCGCGCGAGGGGGCGUGUGGCCCCCGAUGGAGCCCUGCCGCGCGGGUGCCCCGGCGCUGGCUGAGGGGCUUGGCGCUUCUCGGCGAGCAGUGCUAGGUUUGUCGUCGCAGCGCUUCGGGGAGCCUAGUCCAGGAGAGAGGACCUGCCUGCGCUGCUCGGCUCAGAACUCGGACCUUACAGGUGGUGUGUACAUCCCGGUGGACGGGUAGACACUUCUGUGUGCUCCUGAAGGCCGGCUGCGUGUAAUAACCAACUGGAGUGCUUUAAGAAGGAUUCUAACGCCAGCCCAAUCCCAGACCAAUUGGACCCACAUCCACAUAGGGCCUGGACAGUGUAUUUUUAACCCCCUCUUCCCCAUAAGUGAUUUUGGUGCAGUGAGAAUUUAUAGAAGUAACCAGCUUGAUGGAAUAGCUACUUGUGAAAUCACAUCUAUUUAGGGACAAAAUAGUAAAAAUAGCUAAAAUAGCUAACACGUAUUCAUCUGUCACUCAGUGGGGUCUCUGUGUCAGAUACUGCGGCUCCCCAAACAUGGAUCUACUCGUAGAAGUACUGUUACCCCUAUUUUAUAGUUGGAGGAGGAGUGGAAGCUCGGAGUUAAUCAGGGAGGACUACUGUGACUAGGACCUAGGGAGGUCGAGUUCAAAACCCCUACUUUCAACAGUCACAUAUGCCUCGUGGAAAAUGUACCUUUGCCUAAGGGCCCCAUGUUUGUGUGAAUAGUAGUAAUGUUUGCCUGAGGGCCAGCUUGUUUAUGUGGGUACAUUUCUACUGUUAAGAUUUUUGUCUGAAAAGCUUUGCUUGUAUAGGGGAGGAAAAUCGUGGUGAUUCUUUAAGGCCUGUAGGCGACCUUUUCCAGAAGUUUAUUGUGGAUCAAGGAGAGAGGGGAUCUCCGUAAUUUGAAGUGAAUAGGUUCUCUGGAAGUUUCUUGUUUUGUUUUUGAGACUUGAGCAUUUCUAUAAUGUGAAGGGGAGAGUCCGGAAGAGGCAGAUAUUUUCCAAGUAUUUACAUGAGCAACCACAAGAGUACUUUAGGUUGCUGGAUGCGAUACAGUUGUGGUGUGGUCACAGCUGGAUGUACCCAGAGGUGCGGUACAGUACAGAGUAGCAGAAGUUCUGCCAUUAGCAUUUUGGAGAAAAAAAAAAACAACUAGUCUGGAGUAGAGAAACUUUGCCGUUACAUCUCUUUUCUCCCCUUAAUUUGUUUGAUUUGUCUCCUGGUCAGAUAAACUGUUGGUGGGACGUUUAGAUGUGGGAGUAGUCCAUUUCAUUAGUAUUUUCUGUACAGAGAUUCCAAAGAAAACUCAUAGUAAACAGAGGUUUCUCCCUGAAAACAAAUGAUACUAGCUACAGUGUAUUUGUGACCAGUAUGUAUUAUUAAGAGGUACCGUGUCACAAAGAACUUUAUAUUCCUGUUGAUUGCUGUCAAAUAUUGUUACCUCUAUGGCAGGCAUGGGUAUAUUAUUUAGCAUACUUUAGGGAUUGGUUUUCAUAUUACUUGCAGUUUUGAUGAGGAAGGCUUAUAGACCUACUCAGGCAAACCUGACUGGAACGUGAGUAUCUGUGGUCUGGUGUGGAAAUAGCUCUCUAGCCCCAUCUCCCUCCUCCCAUUGUCCACCCCCAUCCUCCUUACCACGAAACACAUUUUUCACCAGCAUUGCCAAACCACUUGGGAUUCCUGCGCAUGGCUUUGCUUAGUUUGCUCUUCUGCUUCUUGGAUACCUCCUUCAGGAAAUGUUCCCUGAUUUCUCCUCAGAAACCAUUUAAAAAAUACCCUCCCUGCGUCAUCUCUGCAUUAUAUAUAUGCUUGUCUUAUUGCAUUAUAUCACAGCAUAUCUCAUUGUAUUUGUUACAUAUUGGGCACCUCAAAGGUGAGAAUGGUGACUUGUUUAUCUGCACAUCACUGGCACACAGUAAGCACUUAAGUUUAUUGCAUUGGUCGCAAUUACAUUUACUUCCAUUUAAGUUGCAUUAUCUGUGUCGGUGUUUUCCUGAAUCACUCAUCUUCAUUCUGAACUGUCCUCACCUCCUUCUCUGCUGCUUGCUACCAGGCUAAAAACACAGCUGAAAGCACCCCAAGACAAAACUUACACAGAAAAUACACAAUAAUAGUAACACAUUAUCAAAGAAAUAGGAAGGGGCAAAAUAUCAGUUUUUCACUUGUUUGCGAAUUUCAUCCUUCACUGGCCGAUUGGACGGUGUGAACUUUCUUGGUUACUAAUAUAUGCUGGAGGAGAUGCCCAAGGUUGUUUUUGUUUUUCGAUUUACUUGGGAAGGAAGAACUAGUACUACAUUACCAGUGGACAUGCUUUGAUGUGCCAUAACAGAGCACAGGUGCUUCAUCACAUUUCAUUGCUGUAAUUUUCAGAUUGAGUAUUACAGAGGUAUUUGUAGAGCAGCACUGUCCCAUAGAGCUUUUGGAGAGGAUGGAAAUGAUUUAUAAAUUUGUGUUAUCCAGUGUGGUAGCCACUAGCCACUUGUGGCUAUUGAGCACAUUAAGUGUGACUGACGAACUGAAUUUCUUUUCUUUUCUUUCUUUCUUUUUUUUUUUUUUUUGAGACGGUGUUGUUCUGUCACCAAGGCUGGAGUGCAGUGGUGCAAUCUUGGCCCACUGCAACCUCUGCUUCCCAGGCUGAAGCGAUCCUCCCACCUUAGCCCUCCCGAGUAGCUGGGAUUACAGGGGCCUGCCACCAUGCCUGGCUAUUUUUGUGUUUUUAGUAGGGGUGGGAUUUCGCCAUGUUGCCCAGGCUGGUUUUGAACUCCUGGGCUCAAGCAAUCUGCCCGCCUCGGCCUCCCAAAGUGCUGGGAUUACAGGUGUGAGCCACUGCGCCUAGCCAGAAUUGAAUUUCUAAUUGAUAAAUGUAAAUAGCUGCUAAUGGCUACUGUAUUGGAUGGCACAGUUACAGAAGAUAUGUCUGUAAUUGACAGGUCAUCAUUUAGGCUAAGGUAUUCUGCCUUUAAAAGUCUGCAGUCACAGAAGAUAUGUCCUGUAAUUGACAGGUCAUCAUUUAGGCUAAGGUAUUCUGCCUUUAAAAGUCUGCAGUCAUCUUCUAGGGCUUAACACCAUGCUUCCCGUUCAUAGAUUAUAAGGUGCUUAGUGGGUGAUAUUUUUGGCCUAUGUGGGGCCUUCAUAUUAUGGAGCAUUCGUGUGUUCUGUGGCUUUUCAUGUAGUGCGUGUGGUCUUCCUUUUUCAGGAGCAGAGUAGAGUGAUUAUUAGUAAUUAUGAUUAUGAGUAAUUAUUUACAAAUGGAUGUGAGCCCUUGGUGUAUACACUAAAUGAAAGUCCUAUGAGUUGAAUCAGUACUUUUCUGAGAUGCAUUGUGAGGGGAAGGAACUGUGCUUGUCUUGCUGACCAUUGAUCUCCAAGGCCUAAUAUGCUACUUGACACCUAUCAGUGCUCAUAAAUAUGUUUUGAAUGAAUGAAUGAAUGUUCAACUAACUUAAGCCUUCCAGUUUAGCUUCAGAGGCUGUAACAUGGAGCUGAGAAGAGAAGUAACGAGUAACUACACCAGUGGCUUUAUAGUUCUUCCAAGGAACGCAGUCUCUCCAGGGGUACUAUUGUUAGCUCUGUGACUCUGAUUUCUUUCUGGUAAGAUAUGUAGCAGGAAUUGUUACACUUAUUUGAUGACAGAUUGAAAAAUAAAGUCACAAGAAGAUUUGGUGCUCAGGUCAUACAGAGAGAGUUGGAAGUAUACAUCAAAUGGAAGUAGUUGUUUCUAUUGCAUUGUGCAGUCAUCCAUGAUAACUUCUUUUUUUUUUUUUUGAGUUGGAGUCUCGCUCUGUUGCCUAGGCUGGAGGGCAGUGGCACGAUCUCAGCUCAUUGCAGCCUCUGCCUCCCAGGUUCAAGAGAUUCUCCUGCUUCAGCCUCCCUAGUAGCUGGGAUUACAGGUGUGCGCCACCACGCCCGGCUAAUUUUUGUAUUUUUAGUAGAGAUGGGAUUUCACCACGUUGGUCAGGCUGGUCUCGAACUCCUGGCCUCAGGUGAUCUCCCUACCUCGGCCUCCCGAAGUGCUGGGAUUACAGGCGUGAGCCAUGGCACCUGGCCCAUGAUAACUUCUUCAGAGGAAAUAAAAUAAAAUAAAAUCAUGCGCUGAACUAUGUUAGAAAGUUUGGGUUGUAAAAUCCAAGUUUGUUUGGUAAUUGUGUAUGUUAAUGGAGUCUGAAAAAAGGACUGAAGAUAUUACCUCUAGUGUGGCAGGACAUUGACAAAACAACUUAACCAUGAGAAACAGGAAUGGAAACAUUUCUUUCUUCAGCUUCCAAAUCUCAUGUAUUCUGUGAUUUUUUUUCUAUGGUAAUCCUAGCACCCAAGUUACAAGCUUGUCAAAUGGGAUAUUUAAAAUGUAAAUAGAAAAUGUUUAAUUGUGUAGAUAACCCCUACUAGGCUUUGAAAAAAAAAAUAUAUAUAUAGUAUCAGACACAUCAAACAUCUGUUUAGAAUAAGAGCACUAAGACCAAAAAUUGUAGAUUUUAUUUCAUGUAGUAGAUCCUAUAUUGGGGGUUGAUGAUGUAGCCGAAUAUUUGGUUUAGUACCUUUAAGAGGCGAUAAACAUACUCUGCUAUCUAUACUAUGCAUCAGACUUAACCUACUUUGUGCUGCUAUGUGUGUUUGGAUUUUAGGCCUGUCUUCAUCCACAACAGCUUGUUCCUAGGAUAAAUGUUGUCUUCCUAUCAUUCUGCCACUACAUGUUCCACAAAUGAAAAGUAAUUUUAUCAUAGAGUAAGUCAAACACAAUUGGAAAUACAAAUCUGUUGUCUUAAAAAAAAGUCAUAGAAUACAUUCCAAGAUAAAAUGGGAAGACUUCUCUUUUAAGCAAUUCCUAGUCCUUUAGUCCUUACUUUUCAAAUACCUUUGGUAUGAACCUUUUGGGUGAGGCAAAAAUAUAAAAGCCCCCGAAUCGAAAACAAAGUAUCAACCACGUGUUCGUCAAUUCCUGCUGUUGCCCUUGAAACCAAACCAAAACACGAGCAUAACAAGACAAAACCCACCACUGCUAAUAGCAACAAAAGUUAACCCAACCAACCACACAGAAAGAGCCUGUGAGAUUUGAGUUGUCAUUUUUGUAGCGAGGUCAAUCAUGUGAAGUCUUUUUUAUUUAAAACAUUUUUUAUUUAUCUUUUUCAAGACGGGGUCUGGAGUGCAGUGGCAUAAUCACAACUUACUGCAGCCUUAACCUCCUGGCCUCAAGCAAUCUUCCCACCUCAGCCUCCCCAGGAGCUGGUACUACAGGCACAUGCUACCGUGCCUGGCAAAUUUGUGUUUUUUGUUUGUUUGUUUGUAGAGACAGUGUUUUGCUAUGUUGCCCAGGGUUGACUUGAACUCCUAGGCUCCAGUGACCCACCCCCUCGGCCUCCCAAAGUGUUGGUUGACAGGCAUGAGCCACUGCGCUUGGCCAAGUCUUCUUUUUUAGGUAUUAAAUGUAAAUUACUCAUGACAAAAAUACUUGCCUGUAUCUGAGUAGAUAGUAAUGAUAUUAGAAUUAAUGCUACAAAAGAUCAGGAUGUAUUUUUGCCUAGAAGAUCCUAUGGGACUACUUGGAUUCAGGUAUAUAGUUUAAGAAUCAUUUUGAAGGUCACCAACUUGUUCGAGUUUGAGGAUGUUACUGGCUUCACUUCUUUCUCAUCAGUGGAGUGGUUGGAUUGAACUCUGGUUCUCAAACUUUGGUGUGUAUCAGAAUCACUGAAGAACACACAUUAUUGGGCUGCACCCCAGAGUUUCUGACUCAGAAGGUCUAGGGUGGGCCCACUAAUGUAUAUUUCUUACAAGUUUCCAGGUAAUGCUGACGUUGCUGGUCAGAGGGCCAAACUUUGAGAGCCGUUGGGAUAGACAGUAUCUUCUAAAGUUCUGUGAUUUUUUUUUUUUUUGCCUGUUCCCCCCACCCCCAUCACUUUUCAAGUUGAGCACUGAUCACUGCUUGAUUUCUAAAGGAUUAUGUCAUUUAAAAAUUGCUGUAUGGCAGACUGAGUUGUAAAAGUUUAAAAUGGAUUAGAUUAAUUUUAUUUUGAGAAUUUCUUGAGAACUCCAUAUAUUUUCCAAAAAUAAUGAGUCUGUUAAAACUCAGAUUGGGUAUUCCUACUUAGCUAAAUUAGAAAUCCCCAGUUAAAAUAUAUUAAAGUAUUUCCGAUGUUACUAAAUGACAAAACUAUUUGCUACUCCUUAAACCUAAAUGUUGUAUUAAAUCUAACCAAGUGCCUUUUAUUUAUUUAGAAAUGGUCUCACUCUGUCACCCAGGCUGGAGUGCAGUGGCACAAUCAUAGCUCAUUGCAGUCUCAACCUCCUGGGCUCAAGUGAUCCUCCCUCCUCAACCUCCUGAGUAGCUGGGACUGCAGAUGUGUGCCACCACGCCCAGCUAAAUAAAAAAAAAUGUUUUUCUAGAGAUGGGAUCUUGCCUUGUUGCACAGGCUGGUCUCGAACUGCUGGGUUCAAGCCAUCCUCCCGCCCCAGCCUCCCAAAGUGCUGGGAUUACAGGAAUGAGCUACUGUGCCUGAACUAUUUAGUUUUAGAAAUGGAGUCUCGCUGGAUUGCCUAGACUGCCCUUGAACUCCUGGGCUCAACUAAUCCCCCCACCUCAGCCUUCUGAGUAGCUGGGACUACAGGUGCAUGACAUGGCAUGUGGUCUUCUCUUAAUAUGCAGCUACAGAGUACAAUGCAGCACAUUAUAUAGUUGUGGACUCACUAGAUAAAAUGAUUUUCAUGAGACACAGUUUUUUCUAGACAAAACUCCACGGAUUUGGGUCCAUAAUAGACUGUGACAGCGUUAACUUGGACAUCCCCUAAAGAUAACAGCCUCACGGAAGAAUCAUGGUUGCGGGAAGGAAAUGUCCAUCGGGGCAUGGAUGAGUACGUCAGGGCACAGUCAUUCCUGAUUUUGAUGACCUUGGAGAACAGUGGUGGCUCUGUAGUUUCUAAAUGAGGGGACUGUGGGGCUGGAAUCUGGUAGGAAAGGGAGUGGGGUUACUAGGAGACUUGUCUUCAAGCAGCCCUUUCAUAGCAAGCACACCGUUCUUAGGGUGUAUGUUUAUGGGAGAGGGAAGAUCUUGGGGAGGCGUUGGUGGAGAUUCCAAGGCAUUCUAAGAGGACAGGUGGCGCUCUGGAAGCAUUCCAUGUUAAACCAGACUCCCAGGUGCUGAGAAUCAGAUGGACUCAAGUUGAGUCCAAGUGAGGUUUGACAGUAUAUUCUAAUAUGACUAAAUGUAUUGGAGAGAAAAGAAAAGUUAAGACUUUGAGGAAAAUAUAUAUAACUUUACCUGAAAGCAGAGAAAUAAAAUAGAAGAAAUUGGUGAGCAGGGAAUGGGAAGACAAAAAUGGAAUGUUGUAAGUUUUUAAAUGUCCUGAAACUUUUAAAAGACAUAUUAACUAUGUCAAGAUGAGUCAAUAGCACAGGGUUCUUUGUUAGAAAAUAAUAAAUGAAUAAGUUUUCCUUUUUGUUUCUGGUGAAUACUUCGCAAUAUCGCCAGGUGCUAUUAUUUGACUCAUGUCAAAUGCCUUUCCAAAGUUAUGCCCAGAAUUCAUGCAAUGCUUACAUUUUUAGAUUGCUUUAUGAUCGUUACCUUGUUUAAAUCAAGUUUCUGGAAGGCACACAUGACCGUUAUUACUAGGCGUGCUUUAUGGAUUAGGAAACAAAUCAUUUGUAUAGCGCAGACCACGAAGCUGGGUUGAGACCAUGAGACUUCUCUGCUUUUCACACUACCAGUUUUAGUUUUAUCUUGAAAUUGUAUAUUGUCUCACCGCUUUUAUAAGAGGAUUGAGCCUUAAAAUCUUAAGAGUUGAUUUGGCAUACGCGUAAUUGAUUUGAGCUAUGUUUCAUGGACCCAGCUUUAGAUUUUGAUCACCUCUUUCUCUUUGAAAAGAGCUACGUGUGAUUUGCUACCCAGAUCUGUACUCAUUUCUUGACUCAAAUAUGUAUCUGUGACAUAAUCUUCGUAGUUAAAUCUGUGAAACUUUCAAAUCCUUCAGACUUGACAGUGUGAGGCUGGGGUUGGCAGUCUGCUUAACAAGAUGCUGGGACCACCUCUGAAUUAGUGAAUCAGGGAGCUGCUGUGUGAUCCCCUCCUCCAGGCUUUCUUGGAGUUUGUCUCUGCCACUUCCUCAAGCCCUUUAAAAAGGCUCCUGUGCUUUAGAGAGUUAGGAUGUUAAUGACCGUUCUUUUUUCUUGUACUUUAUUAAGUACUAGUCUUACUAGACUAGUGCUUAAGUGGCAGUGUCUGCCUUUGCCUUCUCCCAUCUCUUUAUGCUCCUUUCUUCCAACUUCUCACGUUUCUGUUUCUCGCACGGCCAGGUGUCCAGCAUCCCAUGCUGACUUGCGGUUGGCCAAUCCCCUCCUCGUAGAUUUCCUCCACAUUUUCCUCUUCCUCCUUUUCCUGUGGGAAGUUCUUUUUCUGGGCUGUGGCUGGUCUUACGUAGUUCGGUGGAAAAAGUAUUGAGGUAGUGUUAGAUACUGUGCUGCACCUCCAGGAGUGUCCAAUCUUUUGGCUUCCCUGGGCCACACUGGAACAAGAAGAACUGUCUUGGGCCACACGUAAAAUACACGGACACUAACGAUAGCUGAUGAGCUAAAAAAAAAAAAAAUUGCAAAAAAAAUCUCAUAGCGUUUUAAGAAAGUUUGUGAAUUUGUGUUGAGCCACAUUCAAAGCUGUCCUGGACCACAUCUUGGACAAGCUUGCUUACAGUAUUUCUGCUGGAUUUCUGGUUCCAACUAGCUAUGGAACCCUGUGAGAGAUUUGAGUCUCCGCUCAUCUGAAAUGAGAGGUUGGAUGGAGAACGGUCUUUCCAGCCCUAAAAUGCUGUGAUUGAGAUUAUUCAUACGGUGGUAUGGUUGUAGACCCUCACAGGAAACUUCAGCAUUUUGAAAGGUACCCAGUAAUCAAGACUGGUCUCAGUGUAGGGGUGAUGCCUUUGAGUCCCCAGGUAAAACGAUCUUGGACUCCUUAAAUUAGAUUGCCUGCCUUGUGGCCCGCCCUCUUCUUCAGGAGUUAGGGAUGGGUCAGGAGGGCACCCUUGUCUUUAUUGUGAUAUCUACGUUAGAAUACCCGAAUAUUGAACCUGGAUUACACUUUGGAAAAAUUGCUGACACAGGUGUGAAAUAUUCGGCUGCUUUUCAUCUCCAUGAAGGAGGCAGUGGCCUUCUAAAGUUGUUCUUUCGGUGAUGGUAUUUAAACCACUAGGAGAGUUUCUGGGAACCUGCUUCAUGCCUCUGUUAAUUCUUAUACAACUCAUAAAAAAUGCCACUUCAGAUCUUUCUCUUGCAAAAUUGUGCAUGGCCUGUGACCGUAAGUGCUAGUGUCCUAUUUCUAGGGACAUUUUUGUUAGUACUGAAUCUUUUUGUUAUGUUCACCAAGCUACUUAUCUGUCCAUUGUCAAGGCCACUGACAGUUGUUUUGCUGUCUGCUUUUGUAUUGAUGUGUCAUGCAUUCAUUGCACAUAUUGUUUAUUUUUUAAAAUCUGUGUUUAUCUUUUUUGUUUGUUUCCAGAGAGAUUAGUUAUUGCUAUGCUAAGAACAUUUAUUUAAUCCUUUGUCCUUAGUGUCAUUCAUAUUCCUUUAGCUAUUCCUAUUUUUUAGCUUUUUAGAACUUUAUAAUACCUACUUUUUAUGGGCUCACUUCCAAAAUAAUUUGUGGUGACUCUUCCAUUUUUAGCGUGUAUUGCCUGAAAAUUCAGGUAUUUAAUAGCAAAUGAAAGUUUUUUUUUUAAAUGUUGUUUAUUUUGGAUUUUAUCUUUGAAAUCUGUAGUUUGUUUUAUGCCUCUUAGUUAGCUUACAAAAAGUUACUCUGCUUACACGUCUCUUAUUUUUAUGGAAAAAGAUAUAACAUCCCCCUUUGCUCCCCCUUUUAAAGGGUUCUAAAUUGAGAUUCUUUCUGCUACUAAUUUAAUUCUUCUGAAAAAGAAACAUAGGGGUUUGUUCUUUGCCAUAUAUCUUUGUUACUGCCUAACAAGCAGUUUGGAACAAUGACUUUAUAGACUUAAUCAGUACCCUGUUUAGUCAUUUCAUAUCAUCUGCAGUAUGUUUUUGAGAUACAUAUUUUUUUAAAAAAUAAAAGAUCAUUUGGGAUUCUAAACAACAGAAAUAUCCAAACAACAGAAUUGCUCUAAAGUUUUAAAAGUGAUCAUCUGUAUGAGAAAUCAUGCCUUGCAAUAACUGAAGAACAUUUGCUCUUCUGUGGGAAACAGUGGCGGCACGUCCUCGGCUCAUUCUUGGUCUGAGUGGUCCAGCCACUUACCCCAGAAAGCGGUCCUGCAUUGUGGAGGGAAACCACAGUGGCUCCCGAGAAUCCAUUGGCAAUGGAUGCAUUCUGACCACAUUUAUUGUUGUUUUUGGAGGGUAACAGUUGUUUUAAAGCACUGAACUGUAAUUGCAUAAAUACUCAUCUUACUUCCUAAAACGUGUUUGUUGAUCAUCGUGCUCUUUUGGAGUAAGAGCUGUAAGCUCUGGUAAGAUUACUCCUCAGGAACAUGUUGGGUCUUGGACAUUGCAGGUCAGUCAUCUAGGGCAGCAGUCUCCAAUCUUUUUGGCACCAGGGACUGGUUUGUGGAAGAUAAUUUUUCCACGGAUGGGUGGGGUGGGGGAUGGUUUCAGGUUGAUUCAAGCGCAUUCCAUUUAUUGUGCACUUUAUUUCUAUUAUUAUUACAUUGUCAUAUAUAAUGAAGUAAUUAUACAACUCACCAUAAUGUAGUAUCAGUGGGAGCCCAGAGCUUGUUUUCCUGUAACUAGAUGGUCCCAUCUCGGAAUGAUGGGAGACAAUGACAGGCCGUCAGGCAUUAGACUCUCGUAAGGAACCCGCAGCCUAGAUCCCUCGCAUGUGCAGUUCACAGUAGGGUUGGUGCUCUUAUGAGAAUCCAACGCUGCUGGUGAUCUGACAGGAGGCGGAGCUCAGGCGGUGAUGCGAGUGAUGGGGUGCGGCUGUAAAUACAGAUGAAGCUUUGCUUGCUAGUCCACUGCACACCUCCUGCUGCGUGGUCCAGUUCCUAACAGGCCACAGACCAGUACCCAUCUGUAGCCCGGGACUUGGGGGCCCCUCAUCUAGAGUAUUCUGGACUGUGGACUCUGUGUUCCUUUUCAUGCAUUGGAAUCUUCCUAGUCCUCAACAGGGAGCCUAGGAGCAGGCACAAGGAAACAUGUCCCCUCUGGGUAAACUUUCUGUCCAAAAUUAAACAAAACAAACAAAAAACCUGAAUACGUCUGGAAUCUGUCUGAGUGUUUUGUGGAUGCAGGCCCACCCUGGCCCUGGCAUAUCAGCAAGCCAGUUGUGGGCCAUUCUUUUCCUCCCUGUUUAUUGUCGUUUUUUCCUGCGUUCUUUACUCACUCAGUUUCCUUCCUUUUUUGUCUUUUUUGGUUCUUUUCCGUUUCUUCUCUUUUUCCUUUUACCUUCUUCCAUUCCUUAUAUGGAUAGCCUAGGAAACAUCCUACACUUACCAUAGGCAUUUUUUUUAGCCUGAUUAAUGGCAGUCCAGAACUAAAGACAAAUUUUACUCUGAUAUUAUGGUCUGUAAAAUCGCAUGCUGGUGCAAAUUAUUUAUUUGUUUGUUUGUUUGUUUGUUUUUUGAGACAGAGUUUCACUCUUGUGGCCCAGGCUGGAAUGCAGUAGGAUGAUCUUGGCUCACUGCAACCUCUGCCUCCUGGGUUCAAGCAGUUCUUCUGCCUCAGCCUCCCAAGUAGCUGGUAUUACAGGCAUACACCACCACACCCAGCUAGUUUUAUAUUUUUAGUAGAGACGGGGUUUCACCAUGUUGGCCAGGCUGGUCUCGAACUCCUGACCUCAGGUGAUCCACCCGCCUUGGCCUCCCAAAGUGCUGGCAUUACAGGCAUGAGCCACCGUGCUCGGCCUGGAGUUUCACUCUUGUUGCCCAGACUGGAAUGCAGUGGGAUAACCCUGGUUUACUGCAACCUCCACCUCCUGGGUUCAAGCAAUUCUUCUGCCUCAGCCUCCCAAGUAGCUGGUAUUACAGGCAUGCACCACCACACCUGGCUAAUUUUGUAUUUUUAGUAGAGAUGGGGUUUUACCAUGUUGGCCAGGCUGGUCUCUUGAACUUCUAACCUCAGGUGAUCCACCCACCUCAGCCUCCCAUAGUGCUGGGAUGACAGGUGUGAGCCACUGUGCCUGGCCCGGAGUUUCACUCUUGUUGCCCAGGCUGGAAUGCAGUGGGAUGAUCUCGGUUCACUGCAGUCUCCACCUCCUGGGUUCAAGCAAUUCUCCUGCCUCAGCCUCCCAAGUAGCUGGUAUUACAGGCAUGCACCACCACACCCGGCUAAUUUUAUAUUUUUAGUAAAGACGGGGUUUCACCAAGUUGGCCAGGCUGGUCUCUCGAACUUCUAACCUCCCGGAUGGUCCACCCACGUCGGCCUCCCAAAUUGCUGGAAUGACAGGCGUGAGCCACCACACCCAGCCAGUGCAAAUUAUUUCUGAAGAGUUUAAUAUGUUUAUAUAGCAUAUUUCAGGUUGAAUGGAAAAGAUAUGUGAAAUGUAUCACUUCUCAAGCUGUUUUUGAUAUUUAAAUGGGCAUUCAAAUAGGUUUCAGAUUGAUGUUUAAAUUUUCAGAUUUAAAUAGGCAUUCAAAUAGGUUUCAGAUAGGUGUUUAGACUUUCAGAUUUAACUAGGCAUUCAAAUAGGUUUCAGAUUGAAGUUUAAAGAACAGUUUGCCUAAAUUUUGGUAAUAAAUAACCAUAUAGAAUUUCAGGGUCCUUUCUACGUAUGGAAAUUUUUGGUAAACAAAGAUAUUGUUUGGGUUAAAGUAGUAUUUUUAAAUUUCUUAAAUUAUAACAGAGUUUGGUAUGUAAAAAAUGUGGUAGAGUCAAAUUUGUGUUAAAUAGCAACUGUGACCUAUGCCACUCUGAAGGAGCACAGUAUAUUCUAGCUGUAAGGGCCUUGGGAGCACAUUGAGUUCAAUCUUCUCAUUUUAUAAAUGAGACAAUUUACUUAAACUUACACACCUGGUUCACAGCAUAGCGGACCACAGUUAGGUCUUCCACCUCCCUGUCCACUGUGCUUUUUGGGCAGAAGAUAAGGUUAGGAAAUUUAGAAGUGAAGUGGACAGAAUAGCAUGAGAAGACCAUUAUAUUUGAGUUCUCAAGCAAGCUUUGACUUUAACUUCUGAGUUACGAGAUAUUGGAUUAGGUGUGUUUAACCUCUUUGGAUCUUAAUUUUCGGAGGGUUGUAUUUUUAGGUCCUUCUGAAUUCCAAUCAGGUGAAAAAAAAUGAAAUAGGUUUCAAUUCUUCUUAUUGUAGGUUCUUGCAAUUUCACUUUAAGUAGUACCCCUAUUUUUUAGUAGCAUUCCUGUUUUUUUCUUGUUAGUGAAUCAACUUUUCAACACGUGUUGUUGUUAGACACAGGCUGUCUGAGUCAAGAUGCUAGUUGCUUCUGUAUUCAGAUGUCUCUAGCAUUGUCUUGAUUAACUGAAGUUAAAACACUUUAAAAGGCAGUUCUUCCCUAGUUUCAAACUGCAGGAAUAGUCCAUGGACACGUUAUUCAGAGGUACUCUUUUCAAGUGGUUUACACUUUCUUACAGUCUUCAAGAGUAAUCUCAUCAUGUAAGUAAAAUUUAAGAGAAUUUUGCUGCUCCAACUUCUAGAGUUGCUUUAUUUAUGGUUGUGGAACAGGUUUUUCCAUUCUUAGUAGGAUAAUCUGGCAUUGUUUGUGUCAGAGAGAAGACAGUUGUAACAAUGUGGAAGGAUAGGAAAGGUGAGUUUAAAGUAUUGAAGAAAAGCUGAAAGACUGGAGGUUUUUUUCAGAAGACUCUGCCAGUGAGCUUUGAGACCUUUCCCCCAUUGCCUAGCAGUAGUUCCCAUGCCCUUAAUUGUUUUAAAAAAGCCCAUUCUAGGCCGGGCGUGGUGGCUUACGCCUGUAAUCCCAGCACUUUGGGAGGCUGAGGCAGGAAGAUUGCUUGAGUCCAGGAGUUUGAGACUAGCCUGGGCGACAUAGUGAGAGUUUGCCUUUACCCAGGUGUGGUGACCUGUGCCUGUGAUCCCAGAUACUCAGGGAGGUUGAGGCAGGAGGAUCACUUGGGCUUGGGAGGCCAGGGCUACAGUGACCUGUGAUCAUGCCACUGCACUCUAGUCUGGGUGACAGAGUAAGACCCUGUCUCAAAACAAAACAACAAACCAUUCUUUCAGUGAACACUUUUUUAAUACCUAUUAUGUGCAUAGCACGAGUUAGGUGCUGUGGGAAUUACAAAAGAAUUGUUCAUAUAGGGCUUUUUGCUGUAGGUGCUUCCUCUCUAGCUGGGUUCCCAGUACUUAGGCCAUGAAAUGGUGAGGUGAAGUAAAUGAGUACGCGCAUAGAGUGCUCUAGUUGAGAAGGGAGAAGGGACAAAGCAGUAGGGGAAGACUCUAGGGAGCCAUGGAAUCUGAGCAGUUUGAAGGACCAGUAGUUAAGAAUAGCUAAAAAGAACUCAUUUUAAUUUUCUUUUGGGAGAAUGCAAGGGAAGUGGUUGGGCUAGGUUAGGACAUAGGCUUGGGAGUUGGGAAAGAACCACUGUAGGUUUUAAAGUGUAAACCAAACAGUGACAGAGGCAGAUCUCAAUCAGUUUAGAGGUUUAUUUUGCCAAGGUUGAGGAUGCACCCCCGAAAAAGAAACACAAGUCACAGGAGGACCUGUGUCUUGUGCUUUUUCUGAAGAGGAUUUUGGGAACUUCAAUAUUUAAAGUGGAAAGAGAAAGCAGGAGGGGAAGAAAAAAAAGGGAGAGUGGGUAGGCAAUGAGGCAAGUGGUUACAUUCUUGGGAGGCUCUGAUUAGUACUGCUCAGUGAAUCUACAUUUUUACAUGUGAAAAGAAAGGAGUGGGGGAAAAAGUCAAUUAUGCAUUCGUCUUGUGCUCAGUAAAUCUACAUUUUACGUAAGAUAAAGUAAGCAUGUGAAAUUACAGCUGUUUGGGAACAAAAGUAAGGCAGUUUUUUCGUGAUUCAGUUUCCAGGCUUAACUUUCCCUCUGGCAUAGUGAGUUUGGGGUCCUGAGAUUUUAUUUUUCUUUCACAGUGGCAAAUGAGGGAGACCCCUGGAAAUAAUACAGCCUUUUUGCCCUAGCUUUUUAUAAUAUUUUGAAAAUUUCACGCUUAAAAAAAUAGUACUGUGAGCACCUGUAUACCCUGCUUCUGUAUUCACUAGUUAACAUUUUGCUGUACUUGCUGGCUUGUUCCAAGUGUGUGUAUAUUUUGAACCAUAUGUGGUAAGUAUGCAUAUUUGUAUUAUUUUGCCUCAUCAUUUGAAUGUAAGUUGCAGACAUCAUGACAUUUCACCUCUAAAUACAUGCUAAGGAGGACUGUUUUCUGUAUAUACCUGCAAAACAGUUGUCACACCCACAGAGUCUAGCACUGAUGCAAUAACCUGGCUUAAUAUAUAAAAAAUAUUUAAACAUGAAGGUGUGUUUAUUGUCUUGGGACCACGAGUAUUGAAUAAAUUGGUGUGGCGAGGCUAGAGCCACAGAAACUGGUUUACACAUAUUUGAAGAGUCAUAUGUAGCCAUAAAAUAGAAAGAGGAAGCUCAUUGUAUUCUGAUCUGCUAUACAAUAAAAUCCUGAGUAGAAACAAGGCAUAGAAGAAUGUAAAAAAAGAGAAUUUAUAAACAUUUGCAUAUAUAUAGAUAUAAUAACUCUGGAAGGAUAGAAAAAGAACCAUAAUAUUCCAUGCCUUUGAGAUAAGGCAUCAGGUAGCUGGGGGACAGGUGGACUUUUCUCUGAAUAUUCCUUGUUACCUUUUAUGUUCUAUUUUGCAUUUUGAACUAUGUGAAUAUAUUACUUAUUCAGAAAUAAAUGGUAAAGAAGCACGCAUAGGCUUUUGUUGUUACCAUUAUUAGCUCUGUAACGUGUAGGAGCAUACUUCUCUUUACAGCCUAAAGAGAUUUGGAGAAUGAGACGUGAGGCACAGACAAUGGAGAAAAAAUUUUAUUAUUUCAGUUUUGAAGGGUGUUUUAGUCCAUUAGAGCUGUUGUAACAAACUGUUGUAGACUGGUUGGGUUAUAAACAACAGACAUUUAUUUCUCACAGCUCUGGAGGCUGGGAAAUCCAAGAUCAAGGUGCUGGCAGAUUCAGUAUUUGGUGAGAGUCAGCUUCCUGGUUCAUAGAUGGCGCCUUCUCCCUGGGUCCUCACGUGGUGGAGAGAAGAAGCAAGCUCUCUGGACCCUUAUGAGGACACUAGUCUCAUUCAUGAGGUCUCUAUCCUCAUGACCUCAUCUAACCCUAAUUACCUCCCAAAGACCCUACCUCCUAAUCCUAUCAUCAGGGAGUAGGGUUUCAGCAUAUGAAUUCUGGGGAGACACAAGCCUUCAGUCCGUGACAAAGGGAAAUUUGCUAUUUGUGCCACUUAAUGGACUGAGAUACUCAUGGUGUAAGAAGGUAGUUUUUCAGGAGCUGCUAGUGGGGAGAGUAGGGGGGGCUUGAUGGGAAUCUGAUAUCCAGGAAGUAUGGGAAUUUCACAAGGGAGAGCACAAAGGAAGGUGUAGUAGAAGUACAGAAUGUACUUCUGUACAUUAUGUCCAAAUCCCAGAAGUAUGACUGGGAUUUGGACUUUGCCUUGUUGAUGUAUUAAUACUAUUUUUUUUUUUUUUUUUUGAGACAGGGUCUUGCUCUGUUGCCCAGGCUGGAGUGCAGUGGCGCAAUCUUGGCUCACUGCAGCCUCCGCCUUCCAGAUUCAAGUGAUUCUCGUGCCUCAGCCUCCAGAGUAGCUGGGAUUACAGGCGUGCACCACCUCGCCCAGCUAAUUUUUUUUAUUUUUGUAAUAGUAGAGACAGGGCUUUGCAAGGUUGGCCAGGCUGGUCUCAAACUCUUGACCUCAAAUGUUAUCUGCCUGCCUUGGCCUCCCAAAGUGCUGGGAUUAUAGGAGUGAGCCAACAUGCUUGGCCUAUUCAUACUAUUUUUGAGGACAAAAGAUGGUGUGUUAAAAAAGCUGCUGAGAGAAAAUGAACAUUUAGAAAUAAUGUCUGCCUAUUUGUUCAAUUAAAAAAUCAUAAUGUUUCUAAUGCCUAAUAAUUAUUUUUUAAAAGACAGGUUCUUAGAUUUUACUGAAGAUUAUGUGAAGGUUAAAGUAAAGCCUUAUUGAGUAAAUGCUAGAAAUCUGUUAUUAGUAAGUUAUGUCUAUUUGAUAGCAGUUUGAUUAUUUUGUGUGAUAAUUUUUAUAUAAUUAUAUGAUGAACUUCUGUGAUAGCUACCCUUUAAAAUUACUUUUUCUCAGUGUUUUGAGAUGUUACAUGAAAGGUUAAAAUUAAUUUUGGAGUUAACUCAGCCACAGUUUAUUUUCUAUUUUGUUAAUGAUUAACACGAAAUUAUCGAUUGGUACUUAGAGCCUCUUCUCUUGAAGGCCAGUGUUUGUUAAUUAGUGAGUGUUGAAUUGCUCCCCGGGUUUAGUAGGCAUCUUGUGGUUAAUGGAGACAGAUGGUCUUCCCUUGAUAGAUGCUUCUGGAAAGUUAACAUUCCAGCAGUGACGGUUACAUUCCUGUCAGGCAGGACUUCAGGAAGAGAGGAACUCCGCACCGUUUGAUCAGGAUUCCCAGGUGUGACUUUGCAGGUGAAGAAAUUUGAUUUUAUCAAUUCAUUUAGGGUGGAUGGAGAUUGUGAGACUGAGUAAAGCUAUCCAAGCCAAGCAAGCUUACAUGAGAUUCAAUUCUCCAGUGUAUUAGUUGGCAGUGGAAGAUGUGCUGUAGCCAGCUGUAGACUUAUUGAAAGGAUAAAACUUGGAUCAGAAUUUUGUUGGUGAGCAUAGAAAUAAGAUGGGAAAGAACUGGAUAUUUUCAAGUUGUCUGUCAAGCCAUGUGGAUUUGACAGAGAACUCUCUCCCUUCCGGGGCUAUCCUGUCUAAAAAAAUGGAGCCCAGGCUGGGUGCUUUGGUUCAUGCCUGUAAUCCCAGCACUUUGGGAGGCUGAGGCAGGAGGAUUGUUUGAGCCCAAGAGUUCAAGACUAGCCUGGGCAACAUGACGAGACCCUAUCUUUACAAAAUUAAAAAAUUAGUCAGACAUGGUGGUGAAUGUCUGCAGUCCUAGCUACUUGGGAGGCUGAAGUGGGAGAAUU
This 18079-nucleotide long non-coding RNA is filed under the name Homo sapiens (human). RNAcentral describes it as "non-protein coding LINC-PINT:18". Lineage: Eukaryota; Metazoa; Chordata; Mammalia; Primates; Hominidae. The record is from RNAcentral.